Molecule: ribosomal RNA, 57 nt
Filed under: uncultured Glomus
Lineage: Eukaryota; Fungi; Glomeromycota; Glomeromycetes; Glomerales; Glomeraceae
Description: partial 18S ribosomal RNA
Source: RNAcentral
UGAGGAGGAUCAUUCACAAUGAGUGUUGGCUAUCAUUAUAAAAUUUUCAUAUAUUAA